RNAcentral lists this long non-coding RNA (514 nucleotides) under Sus scrofa (pig). RNAcentral describes it as "lncRNA (ENSSSCG00035019549.1)". Lineage: Eukaryota; Metazoa; Chordata; Mammalia; Artiodactyla; Suidae. The record is from RNAcentral.
GGGACUCUGAGUUCUGGAAACUUCGGAAAGUCGUUCUGCAUUGGGGUUGGUUAAAAAGAGGCAGCUGAGCUGAGAAAACACCGUUCACUCAACUUCCCUCCUGCCCCCUGUGCCUGGUUCUUCCAGGUGGCAACUCUGUCACCCGCACAACAAAAGCAGAUCGUUUCCAGUUUCACAGUCUCGCUGGUAUGACAAUUCUUCUUCACGGCUGAUUUCAGCCCCCGCUUUCCUAAGGUCUGGUGUUUUAAACACAUUUUCUUGGAGCCUCAACAUGUUCUAUGCAUUUUUCACAGCAUGGACGUUCUCGUAAGGUUAAACAGUUUGCCGUUCAUGACUUACCGUGGCAAGUCUGUGUUUGUCGUUUGGCUUUGUGUGUUAUUUUUAUUCCGGUAUAACUGACGUAUACAGUUACAACGGCUGCAGGUGUGCCAGGUGGUGACUUUUUUUUUUAUCUAUACUGUGAGAUGAUCCCUCCAUGAGUCUAGGUAGGUCUGUCAGCAUCGUUGGUUACAGC